Long non-coding RNA from Musa acuminata AAA Group (dessert banana), 10415 nucleotides. RefSeq lists it as uncharacterized. The transcript has 2 exons. The record is from RefSeq and is a predicted model, not a curated record. Lineage: Eukaryota; Viridiplantae; Streptophyta; Magnoliopsida; Zingiberales; Musaceae.
GUAGGGAAAAGAGUCGCUCAGAGGAGCGGGCAUCUGAGAUUGGCAUUCAGAGGAAUGGCCAACCCUUCGCGCAAGAGGCACCACGAGAACAGGCAAGCUUGGAAGAAUUUGGAGCGCACAAAGGUUGGGAUGGCUGAGUUUGAGCUACGGCUCAACGUUGACAACUUUACUUGAUGGUGCUCAAGGCAAGCGAGGCGCUUGGCAAAGGACGAGACCAUGCAAAGUGGAAUGAGUUGCUCAGCGACCGAAAGAGUUGUGCAAAGCUCACAGAGGUGAGGGGAAUUGCUAACUCGAAGAAUUCGGUACUCAUGCAUGGGCUUGUAUGCGGACGAUGGAUUGUUCGUGGCCAUCCCAAGGCGGUCGAGACUCGGCGCCAUGGAGCAUUGAAACUUUCUCUUCGACAUGCGAAGGAUACGUCCGGAGGAGGCUGAAGUGUGCAACGAGUUCAGCAUGUUGCUAGGCCUUGAGGGGUGCAGCGGUGGCUGUAUUGACGUGGAGGCGCAAUCUAGUAAGUGCGUUUGCAAGAGGCAGAACAAUGCACAGUUUGUUCAGCAGAUCGGAGUAGUCCAAGGGGAUGGUGGUCUCCGAAACGAAGAGAGAUGUUGCUCCAACGGGACAGUUAUCCAGGAGGGAUAAGUCUCAGCUCUCCAGAGGGAGAAUCAUGUGAGACGGACUUCACAUGUUGAGGAGGAGUACCUCACAAACAACAACUCCACGAAGCUCGAUGGACUGAGCAAGCGGCGAGGAGUCGUCGCAUGAUCUCGCUUGAGAGAAUGCAUUGGUGGAUGCAUUGCGAGAUCAAGUGGGGGAGCGACCCAAAGCAACUCAAAUGGAGGCACACUUGGAGUCGAUAUGGAGAUCGGACUCAAGGGAGGGCUGACCCGUGGAAUGGUGGGCGCGAGGGCCACCAUCGACUCAAUGCAGAAACGAGGAGCGGAGCAACUUGGGUGUAACUUGGCGAAGUACCCAAGCCGCAUGAAGGGAGCCAGCAUAGAAGUUGGAACAUGGAGCAGAGGCACAGCGCUUUCCCUAGACAGAGGUCAAGGACAUGAACUCUUGCAGAGGCAGGAGUAGAAUCAUGCUGUUCCCUGGGUCCUUCAUUCUGACAGAGCGGACUCAUCUUGCAUGGUGCCAAAGACGAAGGGAGCUUCGGGGCACAUGCACCUUAUCUCGGAGGAGCAUUCGAUGGAGGAACUAAGGCGACUCAAUUUGCGGAGGCGAAGUUGGGUACAGAAGGUCUUAGCACGGGGCAAGAGGACGCAGAGGCGGGUACUCUUGAAGAAUAUGCCAUAGUGUUGCCAUUCGAGUUGCUAUGAAGGAAGCGGUGCGCAGUGGAGAUUGUGCUGGUAGGGGCAGAGGCCCAGGAUCCAGACAAUGGUGCACAAAUUACAUUGAAGUCGGUGGACUUCGGGAGCUACUAGGCGACGGACUGUCCUAGAGCGGUGCUUCAUCUAGGUGUGACCCAAGAGUGGGUGGAUGAAGGUCGAUUGCCAAAGGAGCGAACAAAAUCGAAGGUGGAGGAGACCCUGCGAUGUAUUGGCAGAGGCCACACAUGGAGGGUUCACAAUUCGAGUUUAUUCCACAAGGAUCAGAAUGCAAUGGAGAUGUCACCAGGAGGCGACAUGGUGCAGCGGAUCGUGGUGGAACAGUUUGUGGCAAUGCGACACACACGACAUAGUCCCGUGAGGGAUGAGAUCAUAUGGAGGUAUGAUCGGGAGCUACUGGGAGCUUCGCUUUGGUGAACAACACGACGGCAAGAAGGGCUAUGGAUUCAAGGAGUGAAGGCCAUGGUACCGCAGAGGCGGGUCUUCCGGGCGUGCACCGAAUUUUGCAUCGGAUGAAAACCUUGGUCAUCAGCAUAUGGGGGCUGGGUUCCACCAAGGGAAAAGUUCGAAUGCAAGUACCAGUGAGUCCCAUGAGAGGGACUUGAUCAUGCAGAGGUAUGAUCGAAGCAGCUGGAGAGUUGGACUGCUCCAGAGCUCAUAUUCGCUUAAGGGAGCCCGACAAGUCAGAGGACAAGGUCGAGUAAGCGAACGUUGCUACCAAGGAAGCUAAGGAGAACAGAAUCGGUGCAAACCCUACAAUGUGAUGGCAGAGGCCAUGCAUGGGAGUUGCAGUCUGUCUUUCCAUCGACCAAACAGACUGCUUGGAGAACACAGAGGUGUUGAAGCAGGAGGUCGAAAGGGGCGAGGAAGCGACGACGAGUCCAGAGGGACUUAGCUACCCAAAAUCAAGCAUCAGUUAGAAUGGAGGUGGACUCAGAGGAGUGCCACGGAGACAUCUCUACUGAUUGUGAAGGAAAGGGAUACAGAGGCGAGGCGACGGAUAGUAGGGCCAUGGGCAUGGCAGCGCCAUGGUACCGCAGAGGCGGGACUUCCGUGCAAGUCAUUGAUCCCUUGCUCUCACGGAGGGAGAGCGCUUGGUCGUGAAAGGGGCCGAGGAGGUGGAGCAUGCAGAGGCAAUCUCCAAGUACCGAGACAAGGCUGAAGGGCAGAGGCCAAGAAACUUCGUAAGACCGGUGUCAACAAGUUUCUCAUCAAGAUAGCCGUAAGUGAAGGACUUCGGGUCAUGCAAGAGUGCACGACCAAGGAACGAAGCAGGCAGUACGCGGUGCUGUACCUUUGCUACUCAGUGGAGUAGGCGGCAGGGUUGAUGGAGAAGACGGUACAAUCCCAGAGGCGACCUCAUCUAUCAGAGAAUUACUCCAAGUUGGGGUGAAAACUUCCUGCAUUCCAGAAGUUCAAUGGCAUUGAGAAGGUGAAUCACAGUAGCUAACUCAACGCAAGGAGUGCAAACACUUCAAGUGCUUCAGAAGUGUGAGCAAAGAGCAGGCGAAGGCCAGUAACCAGCUCGAUGCAUGAAGUACAACCUCGAGGAGGCGGGCGAAGUCAAGUAACCUUUGCCUUCUCAACUCUUAAGAGAAUGGGCGAAACCGAGUACCCCAAUUCUCUUAUCUAUCCAGCAGAGGAGCUCUGCACAAGUUCAAAGACCCUUCGAAGAGAAUGGAAGAUAAUAGUUGUCAAAUCCUCACCAACGGUGAUCAGUGCUACUGAGAGUAGAUUGUCCGCCUCAUUUCCCAACGAAAUGCCAAUCGAAAGCGGAAGUGAUGCGAACCUACUUGGAUGUGACAACUAAGUGAAAGAAGAGUCAAUGAGCAGAUUUUGUGGAGGAAGGACCCAAAACUUCAGAAGUUUGCGAGGCGAUGCUCGUUAAAGCUCCAACAAGCAUCCACCCAGUUCAAGCAGCAUGUGGAAAUUUUGAGAGACUGGCGCACUAAGGAUGGUCUUUUCCUUCAUUUGGUGGAUCCGCAGGAAUCAACGAGGAUCAAUACAACUCAGCCAACCCCACACCAGAGUCAGAGUCAUUGGCGAGUUGAAGCAGCAUGGCGGAUCAAAGGUUCGACUACUCAGAAACAGCAACGGAGAGCAGCUGGGAGCCAGGAGGCGCAUUGCAGCUGGAGCGGAAGAUUGAAGACUCAGCAAAGGCGAAUAGUUGCAGUGUUCACAAAGGCUUCGACGAGGACGUCGAAGGGAUAAGUGGGGGAGAAUGUAACGGACAAACUUCUAAACAAGAUGUUGGAUGUAAUGCUUAUGUCUGUCCGUUGUCUUUUGGCAUGUUCAUGCCUUGUACAGAAUGUAAAGGGGCGGCCGAAGGCUUAAUAGUCCCAUUUUAGUUGGGUUGGUGGCCUCUUUAGGCUUGUAAAUAAAGGUUGUGUCGUGUGGACACGUUCGAGAGCUUUUCGGUCUGUAAUGGACCAUUUUACCCUUUGUUGUGCAACUAUUCAGAGCUUGUAAAGUCUGUUUGUAAUUUGCAUUGUCUAUGAAGUGUUUUUCGGACAUGUUUGCUUGUGGAUCCCGAUUGAGGCGUUCUCUUUAACCCGUUCUCUCUUUUGUUGGUCCUAAGGGACAAUGGGAGGCUUCGGGGAGGCUGACCUUUGCGGACGGACGCGCGAGGGUGCCGCACGCCUUAGGCAAAACCAGCUAAGGUCGUGACAGCCUGGUACAAGCGGUACAUACCGGUCCGAUGAUAUAUCGGUACGCGGACCGCUCGCUACUAGAUGGAAGGUGCUACAGUGCUACACUGUAGCAUUGCUAUAGUGCUACAGUAAGGGGAAGAAAUAUUUAAAACCGCUCGGUAACAGUGAUACAGUGCUCCAACGGUCAAAUUGACCGUUGGAACCCUUUCUCAUGGUAUUUAAACCCUUCUUCUCUCCUAUUUCACUUCAUUACAUUCUCAUACUCUAUUAAACUAUCUCAAAUUCUUUUUUUCUCAUAUUUGUGCACUCCUAAACUCUACAAAACAAUGAUUUGUGAAUUGAAUCGAGGCUAUUUUGGGAAGAUUAAGAGGAAGAACUUUCUAAUUAAGAUGUAUGUUUACAUAAGGACAAUUCGUAAUGGACUGAAAUACGAACAUUGUACAAGAUAUUCUUCAAAGCUCGAAAAAGUUAUGUGAUACUAUUCUUAUCUAAUUUACAUUGAUUUUGCUAAACUUAUGCUAUUAUUAUAUUUAUUUCUAACUUAAAAACCCUAUCCUAACUUUUUUUUUUUAGUUUCAGGUAUUUUCGGAGGGUUAUACACCUAAAUUAGGUGUAUCGCUUGGUACGCUCUGGCGUACCGCUUGGUACGCUCUGGCAUACCGCUCGGUACAUGGUACCGUACCAUACCGAGUCAAUCUCGAAACACUAGUACGAUACGGUAUUGCAUACCUUGCCAAUAAGUACAUAACCUUACACCAAUAAACACAGCCCUUAGGUAACCUCGUUGUGAUGCCAAGUUCUGAGUGGAUUCUUGCUCUCCUAUUAGUUGAUCUCUUGUUGUUUUCUUUCAUUUUUUUUUUUCUGUCCUUUUGCUAGAAAAAGGUACAAAGAUGUUAGUCCUUCAUUCAUUGACCCAACAACAACAAUUUGAGUUCUUAUCACUACGUUUUGAGAACACACCUCAAGGAUUCAGGAUCUACAGUUUAAAAUGGUCAAAAAGACUUAGGGUGAUUUUAGUGGGAUAUCAGAGCUAUUUAGUCAAAUUCAUCUUGAAUUUGGUUUAUGGCUUGUUGUUUUGUUGAUUAGAAGAGUUAGCAUGUACAGCUUCUUUUGGACCAGUAUUUAAUCUUAACCUAAUAUGCAGUCAAAUAUAUAAUUAAGGAUGAUUAAACAGAUGUUCAAACAUUUUUCUGGUGGUGGCUGAUUGGGGAAGAUGAUGAUCUUUACAAACUUGACAUAACAUAAGUUUAUGGAACUUCAAAGCCACUGAAGAACACAUGAUUUGGUGUAAUUGAUCAAAAGGUCUGAGAGUGAAUGGAGAUGUUGAACUCCCAACACACAAUGCUUGUGCUAUAGAGUGAAGUUAAUUUUAAACGUGCAAAUUAUAAUAGCCUUUGGGUCAUCUUAAUUGUUGCCAGGACUUGAACAGCAAUAGGCAAACAUCUCAAAUAUCAUGUUCAACAUUUUUUCUGCAAUUGAAUGUCAUGAUAAUUUUUAAAUUUAUCUGCGAAAGAACAUCUAUGAGGCUAAAUUUAAGAAUUUAUCAUCUUUAUAUCAAAGAUAGUAUGGUUGACAACUUUCAAGCUAUAUUGUCUCGAUCAAUUUUGAGAAGUUGGGACACAAGGUUUAGACAUGCAUUAUUUGAAAAAACUAGGUUUUGAACUUUGUUGAAAAAUACUGCAUAUAUAAGAAGUAUGAUGGAUAUAAUGUGCUUCUUAUAUUGUUUGUAGUCAUAGGAAAGUUGUUUUCCGUUUAACUUGGGUUGAAUAAUUUCUCUAUGAAAGUUUCAGAUACAAGUUUAUCAAUCUGGCUUCUCUGUUUUUCCAUGAUGUGUUUUUCAUGAUUAGAGCCACAUUUAGUGAGCACCAUCAUCAUUACUACGGUAUCCAAGCCUUGUCCCUAAAAAAGGGGUAAAAAGUAAUAAUAUAAGUUGGGAAGGCUAAUCACGUGGCACAAUAGAUGAUAUCCCAUCUACAUAAAAGAAUGACCAAGUAAAACAAAGACACGAGCAAGGUUCGCCUUACCAUACCGUACCGGCGUUUUGACCUGGGCUCAGUACGGUACGGUACGAUAUACCGAGCGAUACACCUGAUUUCACAGAUUUAACCCUCCGAAAAUACCUGAAAAUUAAAAAAAAAGUUAGGAUAGGGUUUUCAAGUUACAAAUAAAUAUAGUAAUAGUAUAAGUUUAGCAAAAUCAAUGUAAAUUAGGUAAGAAUAGUAUCGCAUAUCUUUUUCGGGCUUUGAGGUAGUCUUGUUCGAGGUUCGUAUUUCAGCCCGUUAUAGAUUGAAAUAUCUACAGAAAAAUCAGUUGAAUUGUUAGACUAUUUUGUUACAAUAUAAACUCUAAAAUUCAAAUGAAUUAAAUAAUCACAUAUGUAGAUAUACCUUAUUGUUGAUUCUACCACCAAAACGAACGACGGGUCUCCACGGAUGGUGGAUCGGGGUCCUCGAUCCGAUACAUCUGCAUAUCAAUAUGAUACGUUUGUUGGACCCAAUCAUGAAAUUGAUCCCAUAACAUAGUGUAUUGAUACACCGUAUGUCAUUGAUGCAUCAAUGUGGUGCUGAUUGUAGACUGAUCGUCAUGAAUCAUAUUUGUUCGAGGCAGCUCUUGAGGCAUAUAUUGGUGAAUGUCAAAACUUCUACUUUCGCUACUGAUCUGCUGUUCUGUAUCAUAUUGUUGCUCAGAGAAGGAUGACCAACUAUCACCAUACUGUUGUUGCUCGUAUGAUUUUCCAUAAUACGAUGGUUGUGAAUACGAUGAGCCUCUUUCUAUGUCUAUAUCAUGUAUGCUAUGUCGCAUUUGUUCAUAUUCAUCCACUGCCUUCCCCUUCCCCUUCCCCUUCCGCGUAUAAACUUGACCAGUACCUUGUCGAGUUCCAUGAUCUGAAUCUUGAGUGGCAUGUGUAAAAUAUUGCUCCUCAGUCUAUUCACCACCCUGAAGUUGUGUAGACGAGACCAACGACUGCCCGACAUCACCGCCAUCAUCUGUCGAGGCACUACUGUCCGUGUUGCUGUCAUGUCUCUAGACUGAGCGAGAAAGAGAAUGUGAUUGUGAAGGUGUCUCGUCGCCCGACUCGAUUUUUUCCAACGAUGCAACUGAUGCUACUGCCUUCCCCUUUGCCUUUGCACAUUGGGCGGACGAGUGUGACCGUUGGGUGUCGGUAGUUCACCAUGGAGUCUACCUCAUGCUACUAGUUUGGCCUAACUGAGAAGGAGCAGUUGGUUGCCUCAUGCUGGUUGACCUCUGGUUUCCACUACCACUGCCAUGCUCCAAUUGUGAGUCAGGUCGUCAAUGCCUCAUUGCUUCAUCGACCGUAUACUGAUGUUCCAAUGAUGCACGAAUCCCAGCUGUGAGAUCCGGGUCGACUUGAUCGUCGCAACCCUCAUAUUGAUCAUAAACUGGUUUCUGUGUAGCCCUAUGAUAUUCUUUCUCAACUCUUGCCUUUUUUUUUAAUGUAUCUUCCUUUGCUUGUUUAAGCAUGCUUUGAAAUAAUUUACGGAUCUUCGUUAGAACAUUCUUGCAUUUUGCAAUAUCAGGAUACCCACCAGUCAAAUGCAUUUUCACCCGAGUUAUUCCUUCACCCUUGUCAAUAUAGUCACAAUAAAUACAUUGACAAUGACGACGGUUUCUAUCUAGCUUUUGGGCAUGAACCCAUGCAUCAUCAUGUGGAUAUUCCUUUAGUGCCGUGAUCCUACCAAAUUUAAAUCAAAUAAACUAUAAAGUAUAAACAUAUUAAAUUGACCAAAUAUCAAUCAUAAAUCAUUAAUCACAACAUUAAAUAAUUUUAUUAAAACAUAACUAGUCAUAUUUUAUCAUCAUAAAUAUGUUACAUGCAUAAAAGAAGUAUUAAAAUCAUUAGAUACACUAAUUACACGAUUAACAUAGUUAAUUUUUUACUAAUUACUUCUUUUUCAACACUAUAAACAUGACAAACACCCUAAUAGGUAUUAAAGAUAUUGGAUUGACAAAAAUCGAACAAAUUUCGAUUAAAUCAUCAUUAAAAUGACUAAUCGUAAUAUUAAAUAACUUUAAUAAAACAUAAUUAAACUUAUUUUACCAUCAUAUAUAUGUUAAACACAUAAAAGAAACAUUAAAUAUGUAAUUUUAAUCCAAUAUGAUUCAAAUUAUGAUAAAAUCAUCAUUUAUCUACACUAAUUAUACGAUUAAUAUAGUUAAUUUUUCACUAAUUACUUCUUUUUCAACACUAUAAACAUGAUAAACACCCUAAUAGGUAUUAAAGAUAUUGGAUUGACAUAAAAUUGAACAAAUUUCGAUUAAAUCAUCAUUAAAAUGACUAAUCGUAAUAUUAAAUAACUUUAAUAAAACAUAAUUAAACUUAUUUUACCAUCAUAUAUAUGUUAAACACAUAAAAGAAACAUUAAAUAUGUAAUUUUAAUCCAAUAUGAUUCAAAUUAUGAUAAAAUCAUCAUUUAUCUACACUAAUUAUACGAUUAAUAUAGUUAAUUUUUCACUAAUUACUUCUCUUUCACAAAUAUAAACAUUACAAAUACCCUAAUAGGUAUUAAAGACAUUGAAUUGAUAUAAAAUCGAAUAAAUUUCGAUUAAAUCAUCAUUAAAAUGACUAAUUAUAGCAUUAAAUAACUUUAAUAAAACUUAAUUAAACUUAUUAUACUAUCAUAAAUAUUAUUCAAUAUUUAAUAUGCAUGAAACACACUAAUCAUAAUCUUAAAGAUCUUAAUUACUUUCUAAUUAAAGAAAACGAAUACAUACCUCUUGAUUAGAAAGUUCUUCAUCUUAAUCUUCCCAAAUUAGCCUCGAUUGAAUUCACAAAUCGUUGUUUUAUAGAGUUUAAGAGAGAAAAAAAAAGUGAGAGAGAGUUUAAGAGAUUAUAAUGAAAUAGGGGAGAGUAUAACGAAUACAUAACUGCUACAGUGCGGUAACGGUCGAUUUCGAUCGUUACCGAGUGGUACCGGGCGGUAACGAUCGAAAUUUCGAUCGUUACCGCCCGAUAUUACCCCGUAUCGAAUGAUACCGCCCGAUAGAAUUUCGACCGUUACCGCCCGAUAUUACCCCGUAUCGAAUGAUACCGCCCGAUAGCGGUCGGUCCACGUAUCGGUAGCCUGUCGGACCGGUACGUACCGCCCGUACCGAGUGGUACGAUUCGGUAUGGCAGACCUUGGACACGAGUGAAGUAUGCCUUCCAAGUUAAAUGGCUAGUUUCCACUUGGAAAUGUCUACCUUGUCAUAGUUUAAGCUUGAACUUUUAAAUUCUCCAUGAGAAAAAUUCUAGAUGAUAGUCGGGAGAUAUCGACAUGCAUCUUGUGGCAUCUUAAAGAAUCAUGAAACACCAAAUUACAUUAUUCGUGCUGGCGUUGGUUAUCUUCAGAAAAGAACAUUUUCAUGUAUAGUUUGGAUCUUCUUAGCAAUUACUUUUACAUUUCAUAAACAGUAGCAUGGAUACAAAUCUACCUUAGAACUUCUAAGUUUAAUUUUGGCUAUUUCUGCUUUUUGAUAAAUAAUUGCUUGAUUCUUUCAUUUUCCUUUUGAACUGGAAUUACUCAACUAAACUUGUGUCUGAUAUUCCCUCUUUUAAAACAGAUAUCUUACUUUAGCUAUGGCUUUUUUAUUUCUUGGUUAGUAUUUAGCCUCCAAUGGCAAUUCUUUUAUCUGCUAGGAAUACAUUUAAAGGCGGCUUUCCUGCUGGGAGGCUUGAUGUGUGAAAAUGAUGAAAAAGCAAAAUGGCAAACAUUGAUAACAUUCCAAACAAGUAUGACUUGUUAGCUAUAUUUGAUGAUUGGUAAAUUUAAAGAUCGGUUGACUGAAAAGCCAUAAUGAUAAUAAGAAUAAUAAUAAGUCGUAGAACUUCUGGUGAGGAGCUUGAACAAUAGAGUUUUGCCAUAGUUGGAUGGAUAUGUAUUAUUGAUCUCAGAGCAUCUUUUAGAAAAAUAAAAAAAGGAGACUUUUUCAUUUUAUAUGUUGACUUGUAUGAACUUGCCAUCGGGUUCAUCAAAUGCUUUCACGUCAGGUUGACAAUCAGCAAGGAGACGUUUUCAUCUGCGUCGAAGAUAUAUUUUGCUUUGGAUGUUCAAGGAAUAUGGAACCUGCUGGUCUCCCAUAAAGUUCAGAUUCAUGGGUCAGAUAUUAUCUAAAAGAUGACACUUGUGGGGUUCAAUAUCUGUCUCUACUUUAUCCGAAAGAUGCCUACUUUGUGAAUUUGGGAUAUGCUAAUCAAAGGAAGCACGAAACAACAAAAUCAAAAGCAGGCACUAUGCCCACUAUUAUGAAGUUUCUGAAGCUCUCGGUGCCGUUUAACUGUUUUUGUGUUCAAGUAAACUUGUUGAUGUCUGAGAAGAUGUGUGUGUGUAUGUAAUUGUAUAGUCAUUCAUAGUGGGGUGCAGCUGAAUUCUUGUUAGGAAACGCUAAACUCAUUGUUCAUCUCUGAUAACCUAAAUGAAAAGCUUCAUGAGUUGAAUUA